Molecule: ribosomal RNA, 469 nt
Filed under: uncultured bacterium
Lineage: Bacteria
Description: bacterial SSU rRNA
Rfam family: Bacterial small subunit ribosomal RNA
Source: RNAcentral
UUCCUACGGGUGGCAGCAGUAGGGAAUAUUGGACAAUGGGCGAAAGCCUGAUCCAGCCAUGCCGCGUGAAUGAUGAAGGCCUUCGGGUCGUAAAGUUCUUUUCUGAGGGAAGAAAAAUCUGGGGAGGAAAUGCUCCGGGUCUGACGGUACCUCAGGAAUAAGCAACGGCUAACUCCGUGCCAGCAGCCGCGGUAAUACGGAGGUUGCAAGCGUUGUUCGGAAUAACUGGGCGUAAAGGGAGCGCAGGCGGUCUUGUUAGUCUAAAGUGAAAUGCCAGGGCUCAACCUUGGACGUGCUUUGGAUACUGCGAGACUUGAGUACGUGAGAGGAGAGUGGAAUUCCAGGUGUAGCGGUGAAAUGCGUAGAUAUCUGGAGGAACACCGGUGGCGAAAGCGGCUCUCUGGCACGUUACUGACGCUGAGGCUCGAAAGCGUGGGGAGCGAACGGGAUUAGAUACCCCUGUAGUCUC